UAAUUGAAGAGUUUGAUCAUGGCUCAGAUUGAACGCUGGCGGCAGGCCUAACACAUGCAAGUCGGGCGGUAACAGGGAGAAGCUUGCUUCUCCGCUGACGAGCGGCGGACGGGUGAGUAAUGUAUGGGGAUCUGCCUGAUGGCGGGGGAUAACUACUGGAAACGGUAGCUAAUACCGCAUAAUGUCUGCGGACCAAAGCGGGGGACCUCCGGGCCUCGCGCCAUCAGAUGAACCCAUAUGGGAUUAGCU
Molecule: ribosomal RNA, 249 nt
Filed under: Morganella morganii subsp. morganii
Lineage: Bacteria; Pseudomonadati; Pseudomonadota; Gammaproteobacteria; Enterobacterales; Morganellaceae
Description: partial 16S ribosomal RNA
Rfam family: Bacterial small subunit ribosomal RNA
Source: RNAcentral